GUCCACGCCGUAAACUAUCAAUACUCGUUUUCGGGGACUUCGGUCUUCGGAGACUAAGCGAAAGUGAUAAGUAUUGCACCUGGGGAGUACGAUCGCAAGGUUGAAACUCAAAGGAAUUGACGGGGGCCCCGCACAAGCGGUGGAGCAUGUGGUUUAAUUCGAUGAUACGCGAGGAACCUUACCAGGGCUUAAAUGUAGAACGCAUAUAUUGGAAACAGUAUAGUCUUCGGACGGUCUACAAGGUGCUGCAUGGCUGUCGU
This 260-nucleotide ribosomal RNA is filed under the name uncultured bacterium. RNAcentral's name for it is "partial 16S ribosomal RNA". It matches the Rfam family "Bacterial small subunit ribosomal RNA", at positions 793 to 1055 of the family's 1533-position model. The record is from RNAcentral.